AAAUUAAUCCAGUGUAUCGUUAUUUGUCAGAGAGUUAAUUUUAUGUUUAGCAGAACACAUUAUAUUUUUACAUCCACCAAUCUAAAAACCUUAUAUAAGUCGAUUACUCAGUAAUCUAACCAUACAUAACUAUAUUUUAAAUAUUGUUUCUAUAUAAAGAAUGAUGAAUUUGUUCCGGGAUUGUGAAUCUUAUCUGGCUACAUAUACGUUGAUAUUACCGUAGACUAAACUCUCAUUAGCAUCUCUAACUCAUUGAUAUAUUCAUCUC
RNAcentral lists this long non-coding RNA (268 nucleotides) under Brassica napus (rape). Its description in RNAcentral is "long non-coding RNA (BNAP_LNC012904)". The record is from RNAcentral. Lineage: Eukaryota; Viridiplantae; Streptophyta; Magnoliopsida; Brassicales; Brassicaceae.